GUGUCUUUGUUUAUGUUUUUUCCCUCCUUCUCUUCUUAGAGGGAAAGAAUGCUACAGCCAAAACAAAAACAGCUCCAAAAGCAAAAGCAAAAGAAGGCAUUAAGCUUUGCAAUCAGUGCACAAAGCAAAGCGCACAUACACACUCUAAAGCUAAAACAAAAUCAGAAACAGCUCCAAAAGAAAAAGUAAAAGAAUGCAUUCAACUUUCCAAUUAGUCCACAAAGCAAAGUGCACCAAAGCUUACCUCACUAAGCAAACACUAUGGAGAAGAUUCAACAUAUAUACCAUGCAUGCGUGUCAUAACCCUUUUGCUGGUUUCUUAGUUCAGAGCAAUGUCAGAGAUUGUGCCCGCAGAACCCAUUGAAGGCAUCUAUUUCGAGCGAGGAGAGACAUCAACAGCAUCAGCAUCGACAUCUGAGGCACCCCAUGUCACUUUGGCCAUUACCAAUGGCAGCAACAACCAGGAAUAUGCUCCAGAACCCUUUGACAGUGAAAGGUUGCCAACAGUUUUUGCUUCUGAAAUUCAAAGGUUCCUUCGAGUGGCCAACUUGCUUGGAAAGGAGGAGCCUCGUGUUGCAUAUCUUUGCCGUGUUCAUGCCUUUGUGAUUGCACACAACUUGGACAAAAAUUCUAGUGGAAGGGGUGUUAGACAAUUCAAAACUUCACUACUUCACAGACUUGAACAGGAUGAGCACGCUACAAAAAAGAGGGGAACAAGUGAUAUUCGUGAACUUAAGAGUGUUUACCGUGCCUACAGGGAUUAUUAUAUCAGACAUGAUAAAGCAUUCGAUCUAGAACAAAGUCGAAGACAGAAAUUGAUAAAUGCACGAGAUAUUGCUUCUGUUCUGUUUGAGGUGCUAAAGACAGUCACAGAUCCAGCUGCUUCUCAGGCACUUAUUCAAGGAAAUGCAAUCCAUAGAAAAACUGAAUUUAACAUUCUUCCACUUGAGCAAGGAGGCAUUCAGCAUGCCAUUAUGCAGCAACCUGAGAUUAAGGCUGCCAUUGCAGUUAUUCGCAACGUUCGUGGUUUACCCCCAGCCCAAGAUUUCAAGAAGCACGGAGCCUUUGUGGAUCUAUUUGAUUUUCUUCAGCAUUGUUUUGGAUUUCAGGAAGCCAAUGUUGCCAACCAAAGGGAACAUCUUAUUCUACUCCUAUCCAACAUGCAGACUCGUCAAACUCACAACCAGACAUCUGUUUUGAAGUUAGGGGAAGGAGGUGUGGAUGAACUGAUGAGAAAGUUUUUCAAAAACUAUACCAACUGGUGUAAGUUUUUAGAGAGGAAAAGCAAUAUCCGUUUACCUUUUGUGAAACAGGAAGCCCAGCAAUAUAAAAUUUUGUACAUUGGGCUUUACCUGCUCAUAUGGGGGGAGGCAGCUAAUUUGCGAUUCAUGCCAGAAUGUCUCUGCUAUAUUUUUCAUCAUAUGGCAUAUGAAUUGCACGGUAUUUUAAGUGGUGCUAUUAGCUUAACGACAUGGGAAAAGGUCAUGCCUGCAUAUGGAGGAGAACCAGAGUCUUUCCUUAACAAUGUUGUCACACCAAUAUACACUGUCAUAAGAAAGGAAGUACACAAUAGCAAUGGAGGGGCAGCUGAUCAUUCUAUAUGGAGAAACUAUGAUGAUCUGAAUGAGUAUUUCUGGUCUCCUGAUUGUUUCAAAAUUGGUUGGCCCAUGCGUCUAGAUCAUGACUUUUUCUUUGUGAAACUUAGAACUAAACCAAAAGCAGAUGUCAAGAAUGAUCCUAAUAGGUCACCUGGUAAAACAAAAGGAAAGAAAAAGAGAGAAAAGAGGGAUGAAGAAGAACCAGAGGAUAAAACAGAGGAAAUCCAUGAACCACAAUGGCUGGGGAAGACCAAUUUUGUAGAGAUUCGUUCAUUCUGGCAAAUUUUUAGAAGCUUUGAUAGAAUGUGGAGCUUUUAUAUUCUAUCCCUUCAGGCCAUAAUAAUCAUGGCUUGUCAUGACUUGGGAUCUCUACUACAGUUGUUUGAUGCAAUAGUAUUCGAGGAUAUAAUUAGCAUCUUCAUCACCUCUUCAGCUCUAAAACUUAUUCAAGCAAUUUUAGACAUUGCCCUUUUGUGGAAAGCAAGACAUACGAUGGAAUAUUCUCAAAAGGUGAAACUAGUGAUGAAGCUGGUCUUAGCAAUUAUAUGGACUAUUGUCCUUCCUGUAUGCUAUGCUAAUUCGAGAAGAAAAUAUACUUGCUAUUCCACCAAGUAUGGAAGUUUGAUUGAGGAAUGGUGCUUUACUUCCUAUAUGGUUGCAGCGGCAAUAUACCUGACAACUAAUGCAGUUGAAGUUGUGUUAUUUUUUGUCCCUGCUGUUGCCAAGUAUAUUGAGGUCUCUAAUUACAAGAUAUGCAGACUUUUGUCUUGGUGGACUCAGCCUAGAAUCUAUGUUGGUCGAGGGAUGCAAGAAGACCAGGUUUCAGUUUUAAAGUACACACUAUUCUGGAUAUUGGUGUUAUCGUGUAAAUUUUUGUUUAGCUACAGCUUUGAGAUAAAACCACUCAUAGCACCUACAAGACAGAUUAUGAAAAUUGGGGUACAUUAUGAAUGGCAUGAGCUUUUUCCAAAAGUCAAGAGCAAUGCUGGUGCAAUUGUAGCUGUAUGGAGCCCUGUAGUAAUUGUAUAUUUUAUGGACACACAAAUUUGGUAUUCUGUUUUCUGUACAAUAAUUGGUGGACUUUAUGGCAUUUUGCAUCACCUUGGUGAGAUAAGAACACUCGGAAUGCUGAGAAGUAGAUUUGACUCCUUACCUUCAGCAUUCAACGUCUGUCUGAUCCCACCAUCUUCCAAACGUGGUAAAAAGAAACGGAAAGGUCUCCUCAGCAAUAUAUUUCAGAAGUUACCGGAUGAAAAAAAUGCCACUGCCAAAUUUGUUGUAGUAUGGAAUCAAAUAGUAAAUCAACUACGUCUUGAAGAUUUGAUCAGUAACAGAGAGAUGGAUUUGAUGAUGAUGCCUGUGUCUUCUGAAUUGUUUUCUUCCAAGGUUCGUUGGCCUGUUUUCCUCCUGGCAAAUAAGUUUUCUACAGCUUUGACCAUUGCUAAAGAUUUUGAGGGAAAGGAAGAGAUUCUUGUGAAGAAAAUCACAAAAGACAAAUACAUGUUUUAUGCUGUAAGAGAGUGUUAUCAGUCUCUAAAAUAUGUUCUUGAAAUUCUGGUUGAGGGUAGCAUGGAGAAAAGGAUCAUAUGUGAUAUACUAAGCGAAAUUGAAAAGAGUAUCCAAGAAACAACUCUUCUACAGAACUUUAACAUGAAAGUUAUCCCAGCCCUACAUGCUAAAGUUGUUGAGCUAGCUGAAUUUCUGAUGGAAGGAGAAAAAGACAAUCAGCACAAAGUUGUGAAAGCCCUGCUAGAUAUAUUUGAAUUGGUGGCAAAUGAUAUGAUGGUUGAUUCCAGAAUAUUGGAUAUGCUCCACUUUCCCGAACAAAAUGAGUGUGGCUUUGUCUAUUUUAGAAAUGAUGAUCAACUAUUUGACACCGUGGAAAUGAAUAGGGAUUUUUAUCCAUUUUCCAAUGAGAAUUCUAUCCAAUUUCCAUUGCCAGAAAAUGGUCCUAUGAUGGAAAAGAUCAAGCGUUUUCAUUUGUUGCUUACGGUCAAAGAAACAGCAAUGGAUGUGCCUGCAAACUUAGAUGCUCGAAGACGCAUAUCAUUCUUUGCUACUUCCCUGUUCACAGAUAUGCCUGAUGCUCCAAAAGUUCACAAUAUGAUGCCAUUCUGUGUUAUAACUCCACAUUACAUUGAGGACAUUAAUUUUUCGGUUAAGGAGCUUGGUUCAGAUAAAGAGGAGGACUCCAUCAUCUUCUACAUGCAAAAGAUAUAUCCAGAUGAAUGGACAAAUUUUUUGGAACGCAUGGGUUGUGAAAACCGACGAAGUUUAGAAGAUGAACACAAAGUAGAAGAUCUUCGACUGUGGGCUUCAUUCCGUGGCCAGACGCUAAGCAGAACAGUUAGAGGAAUGAUGUACUACAGAGAAGCCUUAAAAUUACAAGCAUUUCUUGACAUGGCUGAAGAAGAAGAUAUUCUUGAGGGUUAUGAGACUGCUGAAAGAGGUAACCGUGCAUUGUUUGCUCGUCUAGAAGCACUAGCAGACAUGAAAUACACCUAUGUUAUUUCCUGUCAAUCAUUUGCAUCACAAAAGGCUAUGAAUGAUCCACGUUAUCAAGAUAUGAUCGACUUGAUGACAAGGUAUCCAUCUCUUCGUGUUGCCUAUGUUGAGGAAAAGGAAGAGAUAGUGCAGGGUAGGCCUCACAAAGUAUAUUCAUCUAAACUGGUUAAAGUUGUGAAUGGUUUUGAACAGACAAUAUAUCAGAUUAAACUACCAGGGACACCGCAUCUUGGAGAAGGGAAGCCUGAAAACCAAAACAAUGCAAUAAUAUUCACUCGUGGUGAAGCACUCCAAACAAUUGAUAUGAACCAAGAUAAUUACUUGGAAGAAGCUCUGAAGAUGAGAAACCUUCUCCAAGAAUUUCUUCGGCGCCAAGGAAGGCGUCCUCCUACAAUACUUGGCUUAAGGGAACACAUUUUCACAGGAAGUGUGUCUUCUCUGGCUUGGUUCAUGUCAUAUCAAGAGACUAGCUUUGUCACUAUUGGUCAAAGGCUUCUGGCUAAUCCUCUCAGGGUGCGGUUCCACUAUGGCCAUCCAGAUGUAUUUGAUAGGAUUUUUCAUAUCACAAGAGGAGGAAUAAGCAAAGCAUCUAAAACAAUUAACUUGAGUGAGGAUGUUUUUGCUGGAUUUAAUUCAACAUUAAGACGAGGAUGUAUUUCCUAUCAUGAAUACUUGCAAAUUGGCAAAGGUCGUGAUGUAGCUCUUAACCAAAUCUCAAAAUUUGAAGCUAAGGUAGCAAAUGGAAACUGUGAGCAAACUAUAAGCCGUGACAUAUUCCGCCUUGGUAGGCAAUUCGAUUUUUUCCGGAUGCUGUCGUGCUAUUUCACAACAAUUGGAUUUUACUUCAGCAGCUUGAUUUCAGUGAUAGGAAUCUAUGUAUUUCUCUACGGACAGCUAUACCUGGUGCUUAGUGGGUUGGAAAGAGCACUUAUCGUUGAGGCUCGACUCAAGAAUGUGCAAUCCUUAGAAACAGCUCUUGCCUCCCAGUCAUUCAUACAACUUGGACUUCUGACAGGCUUGCCAAUGGUGAUGGAAAUAGGACUUGAGAAAGGUUUCCUGACAGCUUUAAAGGACUUUGUACUCAUGCAAUUGCAGUUGGCUGCUGUUUUCUUCACUUUUGCCCUUGGAACAAAAACACAUUACUAUGGACGAACGCUUUUGCAUGGGGGAGCAAAGUACAGACCAACUGGACGUAAAGUUGUGUUCCAUGCUAGCUUCACUGAGAACUAUAGAUUGUAUUCAAGAAGCCACUUUGUUAAGGCAUUUGAGUUGUUGCUGCUGUUGAUUGUUUAUAACAUGUUCAGGAGGUCCUACCAAAGUAACAUGGCAUAUGUGUUGAUAACAUAUGCCAUUUGGUUCAUGUCUCUAACUUGGUUAUGUGCACCUUUUCUUUUUAACCCUGCUGGGUUCAGUUGGACCAAGACGGUAGAUGACUGGAAAGAGUGGAAUAAAUGGAUCAGACAACAGGGUGGUAUAGGAAUUCAACAAGACAAAAGUUGGCAUUCUUGGUGGUAUGAUGAGCAAACUCAUCUUCGUUGGUCAGGUCUUGCUUCUAGGAUUACUGAAAUAUUGCUUUCUCUCCGUUUUUUCAUCUAUCAGUAUGGUCUGGUCUAUCAUCUAGACAUCUCUCAGCAUAGCAAGAACUUUCUGGUUUAUGUCCUUUCAUGGAUUGUGAUUGUUGCAAUUUUCCUCUUGGUGAAGGCCGUUAACAUGGGAAGGAAACUACUCAGUGCUAACUAUCAGCUUGGAUUCAGACUUUUCAAAGCAUUCUUGUUCCUGGCUGUUCUUGCCCUCAUCUUUACUCUUUCUAUUAUAUGUGAAUUGUCAUUGAUGGACCUUUUCGUUUGCUGUCUAGCAUUCAUGCCAACUGCAUGGGGAUUGAUACUGAUUGCUCAAGCUGUAAGGCCAAAGAUAGAGCACACGGGGCUGUGGGACUUCACACGUGCACUUGCUAGAGAAUUUGAUUAUGGAAUGGGGAUAGUUCUUUUCGGACCAAUAGCUAUUUUGGCAUGGCUACCAAUCAUUAAAGCCUUCCAUGCUCGUUUUCUUUUCAAUGAGGCAUUCAAAAGGCACUUGCAAAUUCAACCAAUUCUAUCCGGAAAAAAGAAGAAGCACAGGACUUGACCAUGAUUCUUGUAAUUGUUUGUGUACAGUCAAAGAUUAAUUCUUGAUAUUCUAUAGGAAGAUUUUAGGAACUAGGUAUACUUUUGCUAUCAAAGUUGGUCCUGACGGUACUAUUGAUCAUCUCAAAGCUCACUUCAUAACCAAAGUGAUGACAAACCCCUCGGCCAUGGCCAAGUACAUACAUGAGAAUAUACUUAAUCUAGGAAGGUAGGCCCAAACACUUAUCCUCUUGGGCCAUCAAUAGGUUUUAGGCUUAAUAAUAUAUGGUUUUCUUUUGGGAAUGGGCCAAGUAAUCUAAAGUUUUCUUUAGGUAAUGUGUUUAGACUUUAGGUUUAUAAUGUAGGGUUUUGGGCCUUGAGGAGACACAUAAGUCCAGGGUUUUUACUCUAGCUUGGUGUGCAAGCCUUUUAAAAGAGUGGUCUCCUUAUGCGCACAUGAGAUGAUGAGAGAGAUCAUGCCAUAUGGAAAGUAUUUUAGAAGCUUGUGGUCUUAUGGGUAGAAUGAUCUCUUUUUUUAAGACACCUCUAGGGUUUCUUAGUUUAUAAAUAGAUAUGUCUCCCCAUAUAAAAUAACUUUUGAGUUGAGUAAUGUUACUCUAUCAUUUUUAUGUCAUACUAUUCUCUUAAGUCUCCAAAGGCUAAAAUACACCUUCUAGGUUUCUUCUAACCACCUUUCCUCUUGAAUUGACUCAAUAUCUCUUAAGAGCACCUGAUGGCCUUCCUCCAAGCUUGCUUGUGUCCAUGGUGGAAUAUGAUGGAGACAUAAUGAAAAGUGGUGCAAAAUCAAAGAAAAUGAAGGAAAAUGAGAGUGUUUUGGUUUGAUUUAGGUGAGGUUUCCUAGAGAGAGGUGAGGUCAACCCAUGGAGAAGGAAACUAGAGACUCUAGAAAGGAUUCUACUUUAAGGUGAGCUCAAACAUGAGGCAUGUGCACACAAUUGAGCAGCAUUUCAUUACUCAAAUUCAAACUGAAAAAUACAUCAUUGAAAACCUUUAAUUAUAGGUCAAGCUAACCCUAGAGUGGUCUCCAAAAAGGAGAAAUAGAUUUGAAUUCAAAACUAGUAUAGAAUUUGAAAAAUGAAGUUAAAAUGGAGCUUAAUUUUAGAGUGUCAUUUUGUUAAAGAGAAGCUAAUGUCCAAAGAUUUUAUUACUGAGUUUAUCAACUCUAAUAAAAAACUCGCAAAGGACCUAGAAUUCAUGUUCCAAGCUUAAUACAUAUAGUCUAUAGGUUCCAAUGGGAGGGAAAAUGUUGAAAUGUAAUGUUUCUUCAAUAUCAUUAUUUAUGUAUAUGUAUGGGAAUCCAAAUGUUAGGUUAGGGUUUUAGAAAUGUCUGACCUUUUGUAUUAUGCACCUUUGUACUCUAUAAAUAUAGUAGUAAAUUGUAACAGUGUAAUAAGAAAAACUACAGUCUUACUUAAUUCAAUUCAAGUUUUUCAACUGCGUACAAGUAGAAUCAGGUAAUCAUUUUACACUGUCAAUAUACUUCUUUUAUCUGUGGCUGUUUUUGCUUUGAUAGGCACCAAGUGCACUAAGACCCUUGGCCAUCUUGAAUAUUGCAUCAUUCAAAAAUGGUUAAUAAGCUCUCA
Vigna angularis (adzuki bean) is the source of this 7809-nucleotide RNA transcript. It is a transcript of the gene named putative callose synthase 8, with no coding region annotated. NCBI's taxonomy places the organism in Eukaryota, Viridiplantae, Streptophyta, Magnoliopsida, Fabales, Fabaceae. The record is from RefSeq and is a predicted model, not a curated record. The transcript has 42 exons.